AAGUCGUAACAAGGUUUUCGUAGGUGAACCUGCAGAAAGAUCAUUAGAAAAUACCAGCUUUGGCUGGUAAAAAAAAAAUCUAUCCACCUUGUGUGCAAACAAUGGAAAAGAAAGAAAAUUGGAACGAAUGUUCAUUUUUUUUUUUUUUAUAAAUACCAUCAAAAUUUUAAUGCAAUAAAAAAGAAAUUAUACAAUUUCAACAACGGAUCUCUUGGCUCUC
This 220-nucleotide unclassified non-coding RNA is filed under the name fungal sp. Its description in RNAcentral is "partial internal transcribed spacer region". The stretch from base 1 to 46 matches the Rfam family "Eukaryotic small subunit ribosomal RNA", at positions 1786 to 1831 of the family's 1831-position model. The record is from RNAcentral. Lineage: Eukaryota; Fungi.